GUCAUUGCACUUAUGAAAUUACUCUCAACAGAAAUUUAUUUGGGUCUCCAGAGACUGAUUGAGAGCAAAUGAGAGUAUUUAAGAUUAUUUUCUGACUUUUUGCGUGCCCCUCUCUGAGGACUUUAUGUCUAUAUUUUUAAUUUGGGAUAUGACUAAAAUAGAUUUAUUUUCAAAUCAGAUGCCUCUGGCCCACAUCAGGCGUUGGUCAUGUGUGUGACGCAUUAUUCGCCUUGCCUUCUGUUCCACAUGUGAAGCCAAGGGCCUCUUAAAGCCAAGUUCCUAUGGAUUUUAAAUACAGCGUUAGUCUUGGAGUUGGGUUAGUUGUAAGUGAAAUAAACAGCUUAGCAAAGGAGGUACCAAUAUGAUCUAAAGGGCUUUAUUUCUAGUUGAAUAUUCACUUCCAAAUCAAUUUGAAAUUAAAUUUAUUUAGGCCAUCAAUUGCCAAAGGUAGGUAAUUUUGAAUAAGAAGAUGCUUCCUGAGAAAUUAGCAUGAUCUUUCAUAUUUAAAAUUCUGUUUACCUUAAUGAAAAGUGGCUAGUAAGAUCCCUUAUGAAGUCCCAUUUUAUAUGAAAAUUUGAUUGCGACGUCAUAUUUAAGGCAAGAAAUGUGUUUAGUCAAAUCAUUCUUUGAAAACCCUUAUGAUACAGAUAAAUCCUUGUAACACAUGGUAAUAUGUAUGUAUAAAAGUUAAUUAUGUAGUAAAUACGAAGUAUAAUAAAGAUUACACAAGCAAGAAACAAUUUAUAGUGUCUCUAAUUACAUGAAAAGAUGGAGAGACGCCAUCUGACUACAUGUGGC
RNAcentral lists this long non-coding RNA (798 nucleotides) under Marmota monax (woodchuck). Lineage: Eukaryota; Metazoa; Chordata; Mammalia; Rodentia; Sciuridae. The record is from RNAcentral.